AACACAAUUCGGUUCGCGCGGUUUUAGUCCCCAAAAUCAAAAUUGCUUGGUCUGAAAAGAGAAAAAUGGGAAAGCGGCUUAGAGAUUAGAGACGAUAGCAUUUGAUUCAGAAAUAUCCAUUUGAAUCUCUCGCGUUUCCCUUAGAUUCGAUCCCUUCCUCCCCGCCGCCAUGCUUCCGUCGCACCUCAACGGCCACUCCCCCCUCGCGCGCCGCCG
Molecule: long non-coding RNA, 216 nt
Filed under: Oryza brachyantha (malo sina)
Lineage: Eukaryota; Viridiplantae; Streptophyta; Magnoliopsida; Poales; Poaceae
Description: long non-coding RNA (OBRA_LNC001276)
Source: RNAcentral